GACGAACGCUGGCGGCGUGCUUAACACAUGCAGGUCGAGCGGUAAGGCCCUUUCGGGGUACGACGAGCGGCGAACGGGUGAGUAACACGUGGGUGACCUGCCCUCAGCUCUGGGAUAAGCCUGGGAAACCGGGUCUAAUACCGGAUAUGACUCCAUGACGCAUGUUGUGGGGUGGAAAGCCUUGUGCGGCUGAGGAUGGGCCCGCGGCCUAUCAGCUUGUUGGUGAGGUAANGGCCCACCAAGGCGACGAUCGGUAGCUGGUCUGAGAGGAUGAUCAGCCUCACUGGGACUGAGACACGGCCCAGACUCCUACGGGAGGCAGCAGUAGGGAAUAUUGGACAAUGGGCGCAAGCCUGAUCCA
Molecule: ribosomal RNA, 361 nt
Filed under: uncultured bacterium
Lineage: Bacteria
Description: bacterial SSU rRNA
Rfam family: Bacterial small subunit ribosomal RNA
Source: RNAcentral